UGUAGCGGUGAAAUGCUUAGAGAUUACAUGGAAAACCAAUUGCGAAGGCAGGUUACUACUAAUAUAUUGACGCUGAUGGACGAAAGCGUGGGUAGCGAACAGGAUUAGAUACCCUGGUAGUCCACGCCGUAAACGAUGGAGACUAGCUGUUGGGAGUAAUCUCAGUGGCUAAGCGAAAGUGAUAAGUAUCCCACCUGGGGAGUACGUUCGCAAGAAUGAAACUCAAAGGAAUUGACGGGGGCCCGCACAAGCGGUGGAGCAUGUGGUUUAAUUCGAUGAUACGCGAGGAACCUUACCAAGGCUUAAAUGUAGUUUGACCGGUUUGGAAACAGAUCUUUCGCAAGACAAAUUACAAGGUGCUGCAUGGUUGUCGUCAGCUCGUGCCGUGAGGUGUCAGGUUAAGUCCUAUAACGAGCGCAACCCCUGUUGUUAGUUGCCAGCGAGUCAUGUCGGGAAACUCUAACGAGACUGCCAGUGCAACUGUGAGGAAAGGUG
Molecule: ribosomal RNA, 495 nt
Filed under: uncultured bacterium
Lineage: Bacteria
Description: bacterial SSU rRNA
Rfam family: Bacterial small subunit ribosomal RNA
Source: RNAcentral